RNAcentral lists this transfer RNA (67 nucleotides) under Tibia fusus. RNAcentral describes it as "tRNA-Gly". The record is from RNAcentral. Lineage: Eukaryota; Metazoa; Mollusca; Gastropoda; Littorinimorpha; Rostellariidae.
AUCUUCUGAGUAUGAUAUAGUACAGUUGCCUUCCAAGCAAAAAGAUUAAAAUAAUUUAAAGAAGAUA